Gorilla gorilla gorilla (western lowland gorilla) is the source of this 75-nucleotide microRNA precursor. NCBI's taxonomy places the organism in Eukaryota, Metazoa, Chordata, Mammalia, Primates, Hominidae. The record is from Ensembl.
CUCUAGGAAGCGACCAUGAUGUAACUUCACAGACUCUCCAAAAGUCUGAAGUCACAUCAUGGUCGCUUCCUAGAG